RNAcentral lists this ribosomal RNA (775 nucleotides) under uncultured Neocallimastigales. RNAcentral's name for it is "partial large subunit ribosomal RNA". It matches the Rfam family "Eukaryotic large subunit ribosomal RNA", at positions 24 to 635 of the family's 3401-position model. Lineage: Eukaryota; Fungi; Neocallimastigomycota; Neocallimastigomycetes; Neocallimastigales. The record is from RNAcentral.
UAUGUGAUCGUCUCUCGCAUAUCAAUAAGCGGAGGAAAAGAAACUAACAAGGAUUCCCCUAGUAACGGCGAGUGAAGCGGGAAGAGCUCAAAUUUGAAAUCUUAAAGGGUUUCCCUUUACGAAUUGUAGUUUAAAGAAGUGUUUUCUGUUGAGGUUUUGGCUAAAAGUUCUUUGGAAUAGGACAUCAUAGAGGGUGAGAAUCCCGUAUUUGACCUUUACUUUCAACUUUGUGAUACACUUUCAAAGAGUCGGAUUGUUUGGGAAUGCAGUCCAAAAUGGGUGGUAAAUUUCAUCUAAAGCUAAAUAUUGGCGAGAGACCGAUAGCGAACAAGUACCGUGAGGGAAAGAUGAAAAGAACUUUGAAAAGAGAGUUAAACAGUACGUGAAAUUGUCAAAAGGGAAGCGUUUGACACCAGUGUUGUUUUUCUGAAAAUCAAUUAAAGAACUGUUUAUGCUAAGCUGUUUAGACUUUAUCAGCUAUCUGUUUAGUUUUGAGCUUUUCUUUAAUGCACUUUUCAGUUAACAAGUCAACAUCAAUUUCUUUUGCUGUAAAAAAGCUUGAGGAAGGUGGCUUGAGAUUCGUCUUAAGUGUUUAUAGCCUCUUGCCUAUGCAGUCGGAGAGAUUGAGGUCUGCAGCGUAGAUCCUUCGGGGCUAAAUGCAUUUGUGCUAAGUUAUAGCAUUUUAUAGACAACUUGUUGACUAUGAUUUGUCUUGUAGCUUACUCGCUUAUGUUAUUUUACCUACGCUUAGGAUGUUGAACGCGCACAGAGUCUC